ACUGUGGAGUGUAUAAAAAUUGUUAGUAGUAUCUGGCUUUAUUCAGUACAAACGCAUACACAAUGAAGCAGUAA
RNAcentral lists this non-coding RNA (74 nucleotides) under unclassified sequences. RNAcentral describes it as "RAGATH-18 RNA". It matches the Rfam family "RAGATH-18 RNA". From Rfam's summary of the family: Actinobacteria, Firmicutes, Fusobacteria, Thermotogae (1 example). Nearby to self-cleaving ribozyme genes The record is from Rfam by way of RNAcentral.